Molecule: ribosomal RNA, 478 nt
Filed under: uncultured bacterium
Lineage: Bacteria
Description: SSU rRNA
Rfam family: Bacterial small subunit ribosomal RNA
Source: RNAcentral
AGAAUGAACGUUGGCGGCGUGGAUUAGGCAUGCAAGUCGAACGGGCCUGGUAGCAAUAUCAGGUCAGUGGCGUAAGGGUGAGUAAGGCGACGGCAACCAACCCCAUGGUUGGGCAUAGCCGCGGGAAACUGCGGGUAAUUCCCAGCGAUGUUCGUACCGGGCAUCCGGUGUGAACCAAAGUUCUGGCGCCGUGGGACGGGCCGUCGUGGUAUUAGGUAGUUGGCGGGGUAAUGGCCCACCAAGCCUCUGAUGCCUACCGGGCGUGCGAGCGUGGCCCGGCACACUGGGACUGAGACACUGCCCAGACUCCUACGGGAGGCUGCAGUCGAGAAUCUUCGGCAAUGGGCGCAAGCCUGACCGAGCGACGCCGCGUGGAGGAUGAAGGCCUUCGGGUUGUAAACUCCUGUCGAGGGGGAGGAAGGGGUAACCUUGACCUAUCCCUGGAGGAAGCACGGGCUAAGUUCGUGCCAGCAGCCGC